UAGGGAAUCUUCCGCAAUGGGCGAAAGCCUGACGGAGCAACGCCGCGUGAGUGAUGAAGGUCUUCGGAUCGUAAAACUCUGUUAUUAGGGAAGAACAAAUGUGUUAGUAACUAUGCCCGUCUUGACGGUACCUAAUCAGAAAGCCACGGCUAACUACGUGCCAGCAGCCGUGGUAAUACGUAGGCGGCAAGCGUUAUCCGGAAUUAUUGGGCGUAAAGCGCGCGUAGGCGGUUUUUUAAGUCUGAUGUGACAGCCAACGGCUCAACCGUGGAGGGUCAUUGGAAACAGGAAAACUUGAGUGCAGAAGAGGAAAGUGGAAUUCCAUGUGUAGCGGUGAAAUGCGCAGAGGUAUUGGGGAACACCAGUGGCGAAGACGACGUUCUGGUAUGUAACAGACGCUGAUGUGGGAAAACGUGGGGAUGAAAAAGG
Molecule: ribosomal RNA, 429 nt
Filed under: Actinomycetes bacterium
Lineage: Bacteria; Bacillati; Actinomycetota; Actinomycetes
Description: Actinobacteria bacterium partial 16S ribosomal RNA
Rfam family: Bacterial small subunit ribosomal RNA
Source: RNAcentral